Long non-coding RNA from Spinacia oleracea (spinach), 2606 nucleotides. RefSeq lists it as uncharacterized. NCBI's taxonomy places the organism in Eukaryota, Viridiplantae, Streptophyta, Magnoliopsida, Caryophyllales, Amaranthaceae. The transcript is spliced from 3 exons. The record is from RefSeq and is a predicted model, not a curated record.
ACUAAAACAUAGAAUUGUGGUUAGGUAGUUUCAUCUAGCUAAUGGCCAGAGUUGUACUGGUUAAAAAAUAAAACUGUAAAAUAAAUUAAUAAAAAUAACAAUAAAAAUAAAAAUAAAAAUGUAAGGAACUAAGGAGUAAUCAAUACCUAAUAUUUAAAAAAGAAAACCAACUACAUUUUAAGGGCACGCGCGUAAACAACACCAUUUUGAAGACACGUGGAUGACACAUAAUCAUCACCACUUAGAAGACACGUGACCAAGAAUACAUAAUCAAUUCUUCAUCUAAUACAUAACAAGUCACCUCAACAUUUUAUCCUUCCCUUUCCAAUUUUAGUUUGACCGUUUAGAACAAUUUAAUUAGAGACAUUGAUUAAUACAUUGGCGGUUAUGGUGAAUCAAGAAUGAGAAACGUUUCAGAUGCUUAUAAUUCUCGUGUUAAUAAAUUUGACUAUAUUUUUUGUGCUAAUAAUCAAUUUGACUAUUUAUUAAACCUACAUGUUUACAAUUUUUUAUAGACCGACAUUCAUCCCUGACUUAUUUUGCUAAAUUUCUUCAUUCUGAAGAAUUUUACUAUUUUCCUAUAGGUGGGUGAAAGUUAAAAUUAUGUUAUGAACUUCUAAUUCAUGCCCACCCCAUUGUUUUCUGGAAAAAUAUUUAUUCUAAUGAGGUUGGUAUUAGUUAAUGUUAUCAUUAAAUUCAUUUUUUAGCCCAUUCAAAUCUACGGUGCAUCUCUUUGCAUCCCGUUGCCUGACUUGCCUCAAUCGUCAUCGUAUUUCAAGUUCUUUUACAAACGACUUAAAAAACCGACAAAUAUGGAUGCAUUUUUGUUUUGAAAUCUAUAUGACAUCUACUACUACCACACCCUAACUCUAUAAGCAUAAUUCCGAGUUUUUUUUAAAAAAAGGUUUAGUCUUUGAUAUUUUCCAGAAUUUUGACAUAUCACGUUUGGUUAGCUUGAUCAACAACUCUUAAUUCUUAGGUCAUUUUCCUAUUUGGUAGUUUUCUUGAUUGUGAUGCAAAGGAUAGGGUGCGAAACUUCAUGUAUACUUUGCAACUGAAACAUAGUUUUUAAUCCAACAAACAACAAUGGUGAAUUUCUUAGCAUAUUGAAGAUUUGUGGAAUUCUUUGGUUUAAUCCAAAGAAUACAUGUGAUUAACUUAGUUACUCCGUACUAGCAUAUUUCUCUAAUUCUCAUUUUUUUUUUAAGAUAAAAAGAUAUACUCAUAAACUAAGAAUGUAUUUGUGGUCUUGUGGGAGCUCAUAAUAUAUUUCAUAAAUGUAAUGCUUCCACACAAUAUAUCUUGGAAAUUUUAGUUUGUCUACGUACUAUCAAAAUUAUUAGUGAAAGUUUUUAGUGAAGUAUUAUACAUUUAUACCUUUAUCAUUUUGGUAUGUCAAUUUACCACUUUUUUUAAUUGUGUUUCCUAAAAUAUAGCCCGUGCGUAGAACGGGCCAAAAGCUAGUUAAGUUGGUUAGGAGUAAAGAACUAAGGAACUACGGACUAAUAUCUAAAACAAAAAAAGAAUAAUAAAAAUGAGGGAAACUUUCUAGUUUCCAGCGCCAUCAAUAAUCACGUCCUCCAACCACCGCCACCCCAUUCAUCUUCUCCAACCAACUCAAUCACCAUAGACUGUGAUCAUAUUCACAAAAAUUUCUCAGAAAUCCAUCUCAACUGUCAAACAAAACAACUAAUGAUAGUGAAAAGUAUCCGAUUUUUCACCUGGGGCGGGUUUGGAACGCUUGAGUUGACAUUAGUAAACAAAUGAGUUAAUAUAUUGUUUGGGACGCAUGUAUUCAACUGAUUCACCAUCUCCUUCGCCCCCCCUCCCUACCGAAGCCCUGGAUAUUGAAAGAUCUCUUGUGCUUAUUGCAAAUAUAAAUCAAGUUAUCGGGAUUAUUUUUUCGAAAAAGAUGAGAUCUGAUCACUACCAAUGGAGGAAAGAAAUAUCUUUCGAAAUUUUCGUUAGACUUGUGAUUUUACGGUCAUUUGGAUGCAUUCGGAGUGUUCGUAGUUGAUUCGGAUGAUGAACGGAUGAGAUGUUGGCUCGAGGAUCAUUACAUGUCUCUAGGGAUAAUUUUGAGUCAACGACGAAGCUAAACAUUAUUUUUCAAAGCAUCAAACGGACAAGAGUUCACUCUUUUGAUGAUAUCUCAAGUUCUACAUGUCGAAAUGAGAAGGUUUUGAUUGGGCUAGAAAGUAGGCUUAAAGAGGUUUCCAACGGUAGGUCACACGUCCCUAUGGGCAUUGUAGAACAAGAGUUAUGAGAUAAACAAGAUGACUCAACUAUCUGAUUCGCCCACAACCCACAACUCCUAUCCUUGGGCGCGGAAACCAGCGACCGACCAACGGGCCCACUGGUUUUUGCGCCCAAGUGAUUUCCGCUCGUGCUUUCGUUUUCGUGAUCAUCAAAUUAAAUCAUAACUUAUGUAAUUAUUAUUAUUUCCUAUUUUGAUUAGAAUUUAGGAAGCAUAUAAAUACUUCAAGGGAAUUAAUUUGUUUCCCUUAUGCUUUUAUUUUCCUUAGAAUUCCUUUUUCACGUCAUUUUUUCUAUUCUUCUCUCUUCCAUUGUUGAACCCUAGCUUUUCAAUAUUUCAAUUCAUCAAU